CCUACGGGAGGCAGCAGUAGGGAAUCUUCCACAAUGGGCGAAAGCCUGAUGGAGCAACGCCGCGUGGGUGAAGAAGGUCUUCGGAUCGUAAAACCCUGUUGUUAGAGAAGAAAGUGCGUGAGAGUAACUGUUCACGUUUCGACGUUAUCUAACCAGAAAGCCACGGCUAACUCCGGGCCAGCAGCCGCGGUAGUACGUAGGUGGCAAGCGUUAUCCGGAUGUGUUGGGCGUAAAGGGAACGCAGGUGGUCUUUUAAGUCUGAUGUGAAAGCGUUCGGCUCAACCGGAGUAGUGCAUUGGAUACUGGGAGACUUGAGUGCAGAAGAGGAGAGUGGAACUCCAGGUGUAGCGGUGAAAUGCGUAGAUAUAUGGAAGAACACCAGUGGCGAAGGCGGCUCUCUGGUCUGUAACUGACACUGAGGUUCGAAAGCGUGGGUAGCAAACAGGAUUAGAUACCCUGGUAGUC
RNAcentral lists this ribosomal RNA (465 nucleotides) under uncultured bacterium. RNAcentral's name for it is "partial 16S ribosomal RNA". It matches the Rfam family "Bacterial small subunit ribosomal RNA", at positions 338 to 795 of the family's 1533-position model. The record is from RNAcentral.